This is a long non-coding RNA of Oncorhynchus keta (chum salmon), 774 nucleotides long. RefSeq lists it as uncharacterized. The record is from RefSeq and is a predicted model, not a curated record. NCBI's taxonomy places the organism in Eukaryota, Metazoa, Chordata, Actinopteri, Salmoniformes, Salmonidae. The transcript has 4 exons.
UCAUCUCUCUACUACCCAUUACUGGAGUGAUCUAUCCAGGCAGGUCCACCUCUCUACUACCCAUUACUGGAGUGAUCUAUCCAGGCAGGUUCAUCUCUCUAACACCCAUUACUGGAGUGAUCUAUCCAGGCAGGUUCAUCUCUCUAACACCCAUUACUGGAGUGAUCUAUCCAGGCAGGUUCAUCUCUCUAACACCCAUUACUGGAGUGAUCUAUCCAGGCAGGUUCAUCUCUCUAACACCCAUUACUGGAGUGAUCUAUCCAGGCAGGUUCAUCUCUCUAACACCCAUUACUGGAGUGAUCUAUCCAGGCAGGUUCAUCUCUCUAACACCCAUUACUGGAGUGAUCUAUCCAGGCAGGUUCAUCUCUCUAACACCCAUUACUGGAGUGAUCUAUCCAGGCAGGUUCAUCUCUCUAACACCCAUUACUGGAGUGAUCUAUCCAGGCAGGUUCAUCUCUCUAACACCCAUUACUGGAGUGAUCUAUCCAGGCAGGUUCAUCUCUCUAACACCCAUUACUGGAGUGAUCUAUCCAGGCAGGUUCAUCUCUCUAACACCCAUUACUGGAGUGAUCUAUCCAGGCAGGUUCAUCUCUCUAACACCCAUUACUGGAGUGAUCUAUCCAGGCAGGUUCAUCUCUCUAACACCCAUUACUGGAGUGAUCUAUCCAGGCAGGUUCAUCUCUCUAACACCCAUUACUGGAGUGAUCUAUCCAGGCAGGUUCAUCUCUCUAACACCCAUUACUGGAGUGAUCUAUCCAGGCAGGUUCAUCUCUC